UGGGGAAUUUUGGACAAUGGGCGAAAGCCUGAUCCAGCAAUGCCGCGUGUGUGAAGAAGGCCUUCGGGUUGUAAAGCACUUUUGUCCGGAAAGAAAUCCUUGGCUCUAAUACAGUCGGGGGAUGACGGUACCGGAAGAAUAAGCACCGGCUAACUACGUGCCAGCAGCCGCGGUAAUACGUAGGGUGCAAGCGUUAAUCGGAAUUACUGGGCGUAAAGCGUGCGCAGGCGGUUUGCUAAGACCGAUGUGAAAUCCCCGGGCUCAACCUGGGAACUGCAUUGGUGACUGGCAGGCUAGAGUAUGGCAGAGGGGGGUAGAAUUCCACGUGUAGCAGUGAAAUGCGUAGAGAUGUGGAGGAAUACCGAUGGCGAAGGCAGCCCCCUGGGCCAAUACUGACGCUCAUGCACGAAAGCGUGGGGAGCAAACAGGAUUAGAUACCCUGGUAGUCCACGCCCUAAACGAUGUCAACUAGUUGUUGGGGAUUCAUUUCCUUAGUAACGUAGCUAACGCGUGAAGUUGACCGCCUGGGGAGUACGGUCGCAAAGAUUAAAACUCAAAGGAAUUGACGGGGUCAUAGCUGUUUCCU
This 586-nucleotide ribosomal RNA is filed under the name uncultured bacterium. RNAcentral's name for it is "partial 16S ribosomal RNA". It matches the Rfam family "Bacterial small subunit ribosomal RNA", at positions 355 to 1375 of the family's 1533-position model. The record is from RNAcentral.